This 251-nucleotide unclassified non-coding RNA is filed under the name Hevea brasiliensis (rubber tree). The record is from RNAcentral. Lineage: Eukaryota; Viridiplantae; Streptophyta; Magnoliopsida; Malpighiales; Euphorbiaceae.
GAAAAAGAAAUAGAGUACCAAAGACCAGGAAAAGGUUCCCCUUUGAGGGCAGAAAAAGAGUCAGGCCAGUAAAUCAAACUAUGCAAAUGAUCAUGAUAGGAUCAACAGCUUGCUAAAGAAAAUCUAGAACACAAUGAACACCAGUGCUUUAAACUCAUGGAGAAAAGAAAAGGGGGGUAAAGAGGAAGAAGUGAAACAUGUUAAGUUACAUUCUGAGUAACACAAACCUGAUCAAUUACAAACUCAAUUUU